UUGUAUAUAAUUAUCGAGCAUCCUCACAGCGACUUCAUAAUUUUUAGAAGAGGAUGAAGUUGUGCAAAUUAAACUACCAUAUUCUUUACCAGCUACCAUGGGGCUAUACCAUUUACCUACAUACAUGUGCGAAACGAGUGACAAACAGUAUAUAUGCUGAUGGACACAAAAAGAAAACCCGGAAGUGAUGCGUAAAAAUUAACAAGAGUUUCUUGCUAGUUCUUCAGCCUUGUGAUACCGUUCUU
Molecule: long non-coding RNA, 245 nt
Filed under: Linum usitatissimum (flax)
Lineage: Eukaryota; Viridiplantae; Streptophyta; Magnoliopsida; Malpighiales; Linaceae
Description: long non-coding RNA (LUSI_LNC005703)
Source: RNAcentral